GACGAACGCUGGCGGCGUGCUUAACACAUGCAAGUCGAACGGAAAGGCCCUGCUUUUGUGGGGUGCUCGAGUGGCGAACGCGUGAGUAACACGUGAGUAUCCUGCUCUUGACUUUGGGAUAACUUCAGGAAACUGGGGCUAAUCUCGGACAGGAGAUCCUGUUGCAUGGUGGGGGUUGGAACGUUUCGGCGGUUGGGGUUGGACUCGCGGCUUAUCAGCUUGUUGGUUGGGGAGUGGCUUACCGAGGCUUUGGCUGGUCGCCGGCCUGGGAGGGUGAACGGGCACAUUAGUACUAGGGUACGGCCCAGUCUGGAACAGGAGCCAGCAGUGGCGAAUAUGAUACAAUGGACGGGAGUCUGAGGCAACAGCGCCGCGGGCGGGAAGACGGCCUUCGGGUUGAAAACCGCUGUCGCCUAUUACGAAGCGUGUGUGACGGUAAUGGGUAAAGAAGCACCGGCUAACUACGUG
Molecule: ribosomal RNA, 468 nt
Filed under: uncultured bacterium
Lineage: Bacteria
Description: partial 16S ribosomal RNA
Rfam family: Bacterial small subunit ribosomal RNA
Source: RNAcentral